Xiphophorus couchianus (Monterrey platyfish) is the source of this 1142-nucleotide long non-coding RNA. RefSeq lists it as uncharacterized. The transcript has 4 exons. NCBI's taxonomy places the organism in Eukaryota, Metazoa, Chordata, Actinopteri, Cyprinodontiformes, Poeciliidae. The record is from RefSeq and is a predicted model, not a curated record.
AUCUGGAGGCACAAAAAGAUUCAACUUGAUUAGAUUUUAGGCAAAGUCUUUAUGAAACACAGCAGAACCAGUAAAAUAAAUCAAACUAAGUUUGAUUUUUCCACAUAGCUUUUAUUGAAGAUGAUCUGUUAGCGCUGCCUCUCAAAGCCGCUCAGGCUUUUUUCGCGCCUUAGCAGAAAAUUGGCAAAGUUUGUAAUGGAAACACAGAUAGUUUGUGUAACACUGAUAAUUCAUUCUGAGCCCAAAAUGAAAACCACAAAAGGUUAAGCAGACUUUUAACAGGAAGUAGCUGUUUACUCAGCAGAGACGGUUUUACUGGGGAUUGUUUCGCCUGCAGGACCGGACAGACAGAAACCAGGAGUGGAGAAGCUGCGGAGCAGGAACACCUCCAGCCAGUUAAAGCUCCGAUGAAACGACGGAGGGAUGAAACAGAUUUCCUGUUGCACAGAAAGACGACAGAACAGAGAGGAUUUAUGGAAAACUGAGCAACCAGCCGAAACCCUGACAUCCAGGUCGUAGAAAUGUUGAAAGCGGAGGAAGAGUCUAACAACAGCCUGGAUCUGCCGACUUGUUCAUCAGUAAUCAUGGAGGGCGUCAGGAAAUAUGAUGAAGAUCAACGACGGCGUCUUCAGAAUCACCUGCAGCCUGACAGGUUCAACUCUCUGCUCCUCUAACCUCCAGGAUCUGAUCACUAACAGCUUCAGAAAAUCUGAAAAUCAUCUCUCAAUGAGUCAAUAAUAAAUUAUACACAUCAUUAUGCAUAAUUCAGAUAUUAAUGCCAGUGUAACAAGGAACAUGGUGCAGACUGCAGCAGAUGUUACUGCUUCAUACUUUCCUCCUCUGCUCUCCGUUUCAAUCAUCGCAGGACUUUGUGCAACACGAAGUCACUGAGGUGCAAAAGAUUGGCAGAGAAAUCUGACCACCAAAUUCACAGAGCAGAGAAACUGAGGGUUUCUGUUCCGGUCCAUUAACUGGACUCUGCUGCUGCUGAUCCAUGCUGCUGCUGCUGCUGCUGCUGUGGUUCUGCUGCUCCGAACAAAGGCACUCAGUGAAGGAUGAGAGUAUGGCUCCGCUUCCUGCCGCUCACAGCAUCCAGCCGGUCCGAAAACACACCGACCGACCUCGCGUCAGAAACAUGGUGC